GAGAGAGCUUGCUUUCUCGAGCGAGUGGCGAACGGGUGAGUAACGCGUGAGGAACCUGCCUCAAAGAGGGGGACAACAGUUGGAAACGACUGCUAAUACCGCAUAAGCCCACGGGUCGGCAUCGACCAGAGGGAAAAGGAGCAAUCCGCUUUGAGAUGGCCUCGCGUCCGAUUAGCUAGUUGGUGAGGUAACGGCCCACCAAGGCGACGAUCGGUAGCCGGACUGAGAGGUUGAACGGCCACAUUGGGACUGAGACACGGCCCAGACUCCUACGGGAGGCAGCAGUGGGGAAUAUUGCACAAUGGGGGAAACCCUGAUGCAGCGACGCCGCGUGGAGGAAGAAGGUCUUCGGAUUGUAAACUCCUGUUGUUGGGGAAGAUAAUGACGGUACCCAACAAGGAAGUGACGGCUAACUACGUGCCAGCAGCCGCGGUAAAACGUAGGUCACAAGCGUUGUCCGGAAUUACUGGGUGUAAAGGGAGCGCAGGCGGGAAGACAAGUUGGAAGUGAAAUCUAUGGGCUCAACCCAUAAACUGCUUUCAAAACUGUUUUUCUUGAGUAGUGCAGAGGUAGGCGGAAUUCCCGGUGUAGCGGUGGAAUGCGUAGAUAUCGGGAGGAACACCAGUGGCGAAGGCGGCCUACUGGGCACCAACUGACGCUGAGG
RNAcentral lists this ribosomal RNA (664 nucleotides) under uncultured Lachnospiraceae bacterium. RNAcentral's name for it is "bacterial SSU rRNA". It matches the Rfam family "Bacterial small subunit ribosomal RNA", at positions 72 to 751 of the family's 1533-position model. The record is from RNAcentral. Lineage: Bacteria; Bacillati; Bacillota; Clostridia; Lachnospirales; Lachnospiraceae.